This 372-nucleotide ribosomal RNA is filed under the name Triticum aestivum (bread wheat). Its description in RNAcentral is "partial small subunit ribosomal RNA". The record is from RNAcentral. Lineage: Eukaryota; Viridiplantae; Streptophyta; Magnoliopsida; Poales; Poaceae.
AUGGACAAUCCCACCAGAUUGACCACGUUGCGGGCUUUGGUCAGUGGUGUGUGUGCCCAGUGGUUGGAGCACACUAAAGUGGAGGAACAGUGUUGUCGUCAACUAUGGAUUCAGAUCCUGAGAGUUCUGUCAGGACAGGGUGAGACACUGAGGCAAAAGGCAAAUUUAUCUUAUGAUAUUAUGAGUCUUGGGGAUUAUAAGUGCCAUUCAACUAUUCACUCUCAUGAGAAAGACGGGUUGGCGCUUACUGAUGCAACAACCAAUGCAAACAGGUUUGAACCGUCCGUGCCUACUGUUGCCCCAACGACUGUGGGCAAGAAAGGUCUGGAAGAAGCAGAACCCUUUACUAGGAACAAGGACGUCUUUUGGUGA